UACGUAGGGGACGAGCGUUGUCCGGAAUUAUUGGGCGUAAAGGGCGUGUAGGCGGCUUUUCAAGUCCUGCGUGAAAUCUCGAGGCUCAACCUCGAGCGGUCGUGGGAAACUGGAAGGCUAGAGUGCGGGAGAGGGAAGUGGAAUUCCAGGUGUAGCGGUGAAAUGCGCAGAUAUCUGGAAGAACACCCGUGGCGAAGGCGGCUUCCUGGAACGACACUGACGCUGAGACGCGAAAGCGUGGGGAGCAAACAGG
RNAcentral lists this ribosomal RNA (253 nucleotides) under uncultured bacterium. Its description in RNAcentral is "partial 16S ribosomal RNA". It matches the Rfam family "Bacterial small subunit ribosomal RNA", at positions 524 to 776 of the family's 1533-position model. The record is from RNAcentral.